Molecule: non-coding RNA, 424 nt
Organism: Paramisgurnus dabryanus
Lineage: Eukaryota; Metazoa; Chordata; Actinopteri; Cypriniformes; Cobitidae
Source: RefSeq, a predicted model, not a curated record
UCUUUCAAUGCUGACAUUAAAAUAAUAGUUAUUUACUGUUUAAACAUUAUGAAAAUUGAAGCUUAUGUGUUCUUAUUGUACUUUAUAUCGUUUAUAACAGGUACACUUUAUACCGUCAGCUUCAUUCCCUUAAUAGCAGAGUUUUCAUAUGUGAGGUAAUCUUGCUUAUGCUGGGAGUGAAGGCAGUGAGUAUGACCGCUUGAUAUGAGAGACACAUCCUGUAUUUCAAGGUGGAUCAUGAGUGAAGCUCUGCAGGUCGGCCAUUGACUUGAUAACAGUUGUUUAUGUUUAUUCAAUUUAAGAAUAAAUCUCUCGCCAACCAUUCACCUAUUUACUGACAAAACAGAUCCAAAUCUUGUUCGGCCUGAUGCUCAACCUAUGAUGAUGACCACUGCAAGGUGAUGGGAAUCUGUGGUAAUCACAG